GCAACAAAGUGAAAAAGCAUAUAUAAUAAUGCGACGUUUGCCGAAAGGCAAACUCGGCAGAUAAACAGUGAGGCUGAAUUCCUGCCGAACUGUUUAUCAUAC
This is a small RNA of Treponema denticola ATCC 35405, 102 nucleotides long. It matches the Rfam family "TD-2 RNA". Rfam says of the family: non coding RNA found in Treponema denticola The record is from Rfam. NCBI's taxonomy places the organism in Bacteria, Pseudomonadati, Spirochaetota, Spirochaetia, Treponematales, Treponemataceae.